Long non-coding RNA from Zea mays, 245 nucleotides. RefSeq lists it as uncharacterized. The record is from RefSeq and is a predicted model, not a curated record. The transcript is spliced from 3 exons. NCBI's taxonomy places the organism in Eukaryota, Viridiplantae, Streptophyta, Magnoliopsida, Poales, Poaceae.
UUUUGGCUCAUGAGCUGGGUCACCUCAAGUGCGAUCAUGGUGUUUGGCUCACUUUUGCCAAUAUACUCACAAUGGGAGCAUACACUGUCCCUGGUUUCGGCAUGGUUGCUGGCUUUCUGGAAGAGCAGCUAUAUAGAUGGCUACGAGCUGCAGAGCUGACUUGUGACAGGGCAGCUCUUCUUGUGGUGCAAGACCCGAAGAUUCUCCUGCAGCCACGGGAUGGUGGCGGCCUUCGCGCGGGCAGC